AUGACGGGGCCCGCACAAGCGGUGGAGUAUGUGGUUUAAUUCGAUGCAACGCGAAGAACCUUACCUGGUCUUGACAUCCCGGAGACCCUUAGGAAACUAGGGGGUGCUUCCAUCUGGAAGAAUCUGGAGACAGGUGCUGCAUGGCUGUCGUCAGCUCGUGUCGUGAGAUGUUGGGUUAAGUCCCGCAACGAGCGCAACCCUUGCCUUUAGUUGCCAGCAGUUCGGCUGGGCACUCUAAAGGGACUGCCGGUGUUAAACCGGAGGAAGGUGGGGAUGACGUCAAGUCCUCAUGGCCUUUAUGACCAGGGCUACACACGUACUACAAUGGCCGAUACAAAGGGCAGCGACACUGCGAGGUGAAGCCAAUCCCGUAAAAUCGGUCUCAGUCCGGAUUGGAGUCUGCAACUCGACUCCAUGAAGUUGGAAUCGCUAGUAAUCGUGGAUCAGCAUGCCACGGUGAAUACGUUCCCGGGCCUU
RNAcentral lists this ribosomal RNA (477 nucleotides) under uncultured Desulfobulbus sp. Its description in RNAcentral is "bacterial SSU rRNA". It matches the Rfam family "Bacterial small subunit ribosomal RNA", at positions 911 to 1382 of the family's 1533-position model. The record is from RNAcentral. Lineage: Bacteria; Pseudomonadati; Thermodesulfobacteriota; Desulfobulbia; Desulfobulbales; Desulfobulbaceae.